This is a long non-coding RNA of Cygnus olor (mute swan), 5981 nucleotides long. RefSeq lists it as uncharacterized. The transcript is spliced from 3 exons. Lineage: Eukaryota; Metazoa; Chordata; Aves; Anseriformes; Anatidae. The record is from RefSeq and is a predicted model, not a curated record.
UCUCCAGCUAGGAUUAAAAUGAAGACUCCGUACAGAGAAACCAACUAAAUACACAAUCCUGCCGGUAUGAAACAACGUACAGCUGGGCUUUUGAUACCGCCCAGCAGCUCAAGAAGGAGAGGCAGAAGAAGGCGUUCAGCCCCUGUACUGGGGGCAGAAGGGUGGGGUCAGGGACAGGUCACACCCAAACGCUGCUAACCACAGGUUUGGGAGCGAGGAGAGAAGAAAGGUUCAGAGGAAUGAGCGGGAAGGCACGAAACCUCACAAGGAGACAGUAUUCUUUUGGCUGAGGUCAUGUUCAGCCAUGCUCUGAAGCAGCUUCACACGAUGGUUCUCACUGAGAAGUUCCUGAAGUACCUCAGCACAAGAGAAAGCCGGGACUAACAGUCAAGUGCUUUUGUACUUGAUGCAGCAAAUGGGAAGCCAGGGGAAGGAAGGAAUCAAGAAAGCAUUUUAGUUCAGUUGUACAUUAAAAGUAUUUAUUGUAAUUCAACUUGUGAACACUUCAUUUAACUGACUGGAUUAGGAAGUAUAAUAUCUGAAUCCCAGCUGUUAUCCACAAUCCUUUCUGAUGCUUUCUCCUUCUUUUGUACGUUCUCCCUUCUAUCCCAUUUUCUCUAAAAACACCAUUUUCAAAUCUCACAUUUCGUACUUCUGGACAUUUCUCUCCUUCUGUCCUCCCUCUUCUGCCCCAGUCUCCCCUGUCUUCAUGCACCCUUCCCGUACAACCCCCAAGAGACUCCACGCAGAGGUAAAGGAGCAACAGCAGAGGCUUCCCGUGCACCGAUCUUCUCAGUAGUAACCGCCUCACAGGCGGGAUGCACAGAGGCACACUGUUAAAGGCAGGGCUCGGUGGUUUUACCACCAAGUUAUCUGCACCUGGUUUAUAACUUCAUCACUGUAAGCCUCCCUGUUAAGCAUGCCAAAAAAAUGUUUGCUGGUUACAAAACUUGGAGCGCUUCCAGCAUUCCCUACACUACAACGCUACGGAGGAAGUUGUGAUUGCGCAUUUUCCACCGCGAGAGAAAGUGGAAGGCACAAACUGCAUCUUCUGGGCAAGACUCAGGCGCACCCAGGUGUAGGGGAGCUGAAGGAACGGCUGCUGUUGUACUGCCGUACAGACCUUAUUCCAAAAUAGAAGUUAUGCCUGUUCAGUGAUCCUGAUAAAAACGUGAAUUCCUUUUAUUAGGUAUGGUGGUCAUCACAUUUUAGGGCCACAGGAUACACUGACGCACAACCGUAUGUUAAGCAACACAUUUCCGAAUGGUGAUAGUAGGAAGUCUGUCCCCCCGCCCACCUUUACUAAGAGGCCAUUUACACCAACCAAUCACUCAGAGCAGCUGCGCUACACCGAGAGGCAGAUAGGGCCACAGGCACACGGCACGUGUCCCUGUGAUAAGAGAAGCAACACCAGGGACUGUUGACGCUACCAAGGAUUUUGCUACCAGUUUACCUAACUCAUGUAGUAAGCCUUGCCGGAACAAAAGUAGAGCCUUGUGUUUAUCAGAGAGCAGAUUCACCAGUACAGGUCAGAGAAGUUCCAUGACCUCCCACCAGCUCAAGUAACCCCGUUCUGAGCAGUUUACAGCUGACGAGAAACCAGAGCACUGCAAUAAAAAACUGUCCAUUUUGAUCAGUCAGACCAGCAGUUCUAAGCCUUGUUUGUGCUAGACACCAACUGGUAGCAGAGAAAGGAACUGGCCUGCACCAACUGCAUACUGCCCUCCACAAUCAGUGGAGUCACCUGAUAGUAACUAAUAACGUAAUGGUCAUAUCAGAAACUCUGAAGUUCACUACCCAGCAGUGCUUUGCAGAACCUCGAAAGCACAAACUACAAUCUUUACAGACUGUAUUUCCCAACACUAUUUCCUAAAACACGGUAUUUUGAGCGCGUGUCAUGCAAACCACAUUCCUUCUUUCAGUAAUGCCUGCAAGCAUAGAGCACCAAUUCCCAGCCUACCCACCACAAAUAACAGCCACCGUAACUUUCACCAACCAGCAGUCCACAGACUGGCUAGUUGGAGCUGGACUGAAAACCUGUGCUUUUCAGCCACUCUUAUUUCUAACCCCUCUCAAAAAAUAAAUAAAUAAAUAAAUCCGUAGCAGACCACCAGCUGGAGGGUCACAAUGCUCAGGCUUUGCUAGGUGGGUAUGAGGAGAGCAAGGCAUCUUGCAGACAGUUAGGCAGAACUUAACGGUUGCAAACCUGCGGAAAACAUAAAAGAGGUGCUGAUGGUGUUUUUUGUUAGCAGUCAUCUCUUCGGUCUGAACACGGAGAGCCCUACUGCAGAAGUAGAGAUACAACAUCAGACUUGUGUCAGAUGGCGUACUUUCAGAUAUGGUACAUGAAAGGCACUACUACUGGAGUAUAACGGAGGCUUUCAGCUCUCACAUUCACUAGCUAAAAGUGACAGCAGCUGAAACUACACUCACUAGCUGGAAAGGACAGCUACCAAAACAACCGUGGCAAUACAAUACUCCCAGCAGAAGUGAGUCAGCAGAGUCUUAGUCUAUAAGUCUGCCAGCAAUAAAGACCAGACAGCCCUGAAAAUCAUACCAAGUCCCAAGUCGUGGCCACAAAAAACAUUUAUAAAGACCUGGAAAUCUAGUGAUGUUAUAAAUAGUACGAAGCGUUGUGCAAUGUGUACGCUAGAAGGGUUAAAAUACAAAAAUACGCUUUCUUUAGCCAAUGCUUUGCCACUUGGGCGAAUGAUUAACACAGUAGCACGCAGCAAGAAAGUCUGUUAAUUCUCAAACUCCAUGCUGGAUUAAACUGCUCCUCUCAAGGUAUACAGUCCCAUUUGUGUACCAUUACUUGUCCCAAUGCUCUCCAACUGCUUCUCCAGAAGAGUUUUGGCCUGCCAGAGCUGAGUGUUUGCUGUACACAGAUGUCACAUCAUAUGUAAUGGCUCUGGACCCCUGUGCUUAGGCAACAAAAUCCCACCCCAUAUCUACUUAAAAAAAGAAAUGGUUUACACCACAUAGUUGUGGCAGAGAAGUAGCUUAAGUUCUUCCUUUAGUUACAGUGAGGAAGUAUAAUUUGAUGUCAAGAAGAUUACAGGUCUAAGUGGUGGUAGAACCUAGCUGUGGCCUAAGAUAAAAAAAAAGACAUUUUAAGAAAUGGACUGUUGCAGGGGAAAACAAAAAAUAGUAAGAAAACUGCUUUUCCAGAUUGUGGUUUCCUUGUUGAUGCAAAUAUACCAAAACGCACGCCCUACCUGCGCAGAGAACUCACUUAUCCCCAACGUGCAGGAAUGACACAGCUUGUGAGACGUCACAUUUCAGCCCAGAGCAUGACUUUAUAGUAAAACCCAAUUCACUUCUCACCACCCGGAGCUCUGACUAUUCCCAGCUGACUAGCUGGCAGCUCAGGAAGUGCUUCAUAGACCGACAGCUGCACCCCUGCAAAAGCUGCUGUUUCUAUUCUGCGGGCAAACACUUGGGGGAGGGAGGAAAUACCUGCACCAGCCUCUCCUACAGAAAAAACUCUGCCAAGCGUGUCACAACUUUCAGUCUGCCUUAAAGUUAGUGUUUUGUUUGACACCAUUAAUCCCACAACACAGUGUGCAAUAUCCAGUCUCUAAGGAGCUACCUGAGCUUUGGGGAUACACAGAGAUCCUCCCAAACACCGAAGGCUACAAAAUGGAAACACACAACCCAUUUAUACAAGUUAUGAACCACUGGGGAGAAGAAAGGGAGAAAUGUCAGUGUUCACUGCAAAUAACCAGCGUUCUACUUGUGUAGGUAUUUACAAUGUGUUAUUAUUUCAAUAUUUAAAAUAAAGCAUUUUAAUUACUCCCCCUAUUUUUCAUAAAGUCAUUAAUACGCUGUGUUUUUUCAAUAUGCUAUUCUUCCAACUACGGGAAGUUACAAGAUAAAAGAAGAAACGAUUUUUUUCUGCUCUCUCCCAUGUAAUACUGGCCAUAAUCAACAAGAGCAACACCAUUUUGACAAAUUUCAGUCCCUUCACAGCCAUCACAAAGAACUUUUAUCGCGUGCACAUAUCUCCAGUUGAGGAUCUUCUCCACAUAAUAGAAAAAAAUAAGAGCCAAAAGUAUGAACAUUCAGCAGAGCAAGUCAGGAAAUUAAGGAAGACUUUAUCUGAGCUCAGGACUAUGCUACUCAUUCAGCUCAUGCUUUGUAGAGAUGCUCAUUGCUACGGAGUCGCCAGUGGCUCUAGUGCAUCAAAUUGUAACCAUCAGGAAAACCCUGUUCAGUUACGACAAAAGGAGAGUACUGCAAUUAAAGCACCGGACUGUUGGCGAUGGGUUCCAAGUUUCAUAUCCAUCUUCAUUUCUGACUUACCCUGCGGUCAGGCCAACCACACAACAUUAAUAUUAGCAAAAAGCACUGCACUGCAAGAGUCAGCAAAACAGCACAACUCCAUCAUCCCAAGUAUCUGCGUAACUGUACUUAGGUCACAACCUAAACUGGUCACGACCUUGUUGUUUUCCAAAGUGGCUUUUCCUGAAGAUAGAGACUAUAGCAAUGAAUGCAAACAUUUUCAUUGUAGAUACACUUUAUCUGGCUUCCGCACUCCAUCUUCUGUCUUCUGUAAUGUUCAUAUCCCUUACUGCCUUCCUAUCUGGGCCUUGAUUUGGUUUUUGUUAAACAGGCUCUUCUGGCUACUUUCUUCUCAUGACAAGCCUUCACCAUUCUUCUCACCCAAAUUGUUCUCACUCCAUUCUUCCUUAUCCAGAUCAGAAAGAGACGCAUCAAGGAUUUAUCAUAGGCACUAGAACAGCCAGAAUCCAUCAGAGAAGGAAAGAAUAUUCCAUCUCACUGUGGAGAGAGAAUCUCUGCCAUCAUAAUUCACUGCUGGAUUCUAAAGUCACACAGUAUUUAAAAACACAGCAACCAAACAAAAACCCCACCACAUCCUUAAUUAUUGAAGAACAAAACCUCACGAAGAAAGUCUCGCUGGUAUUGCAGCUAAUGGGACUGUUGCCUACUUGCAUAUCAUGUCUCCAUUUUUUUAAUAGAUCCUCUGCUGCCCAUGCAACAGCAAAUGGACAAACAGCUGUUCUCAGGUGAAAGCUCUUCCUCACUCCUCUAAGGCACAGAUCUAUUUCCACCAUGUCUGUAAGCAUCUUGGACUUCCAGUUCCUCAGGAAAUUAAGCUUUAAACAGUCAACAUACAGUCACAUGCUUUAAUGUAAUCUAGUGUAAAGAAUUGGUAUUAGUGAAAAAAAUUAUUUCCUUUUUUUUUCCCUGGUAGACAACCAAGCAAGUUUAUUAACAAGUGGGACUAACAUUGGCUUCAUCCAGUUGCAUGUUAACCUCCCAGCAGCACGUGCUGCACUGAGCAAGCAGUAGGUGAGUUUAGUAGCUGGUGCUGCCUGACAGAAUACGUAAGUGAAUUAAUUUUGCCAUCUCUGCCAGGACUAAGAACUAAGCUAUUUUCCCACAAACACAUACAUAGGCACAAAAAUGCUCGCCCACAGCAAGACUUUCAAGAAGAAUCAAUUCCCCAUUCCGGUUCUCAAUAGAUUCACAAACAAAACAACCUGUGCCUGAGGGCACCAAAAGGGUGCUGCGGCAGCGUGCUGAGUGGCUGCAUUGGUCAGAGCGCCCUGAAUCACUAUUUCCCCUUGCAGCCUGCCCUCUUCUUCACGAGACCUUCAGUUUUCAGAGUCUGUACUGCCUUCAAAUCUUCAAGGAGAUUUGCCAAGGGAGACUGAAGACGACUUGUGAGCUCAGAAGCCACGCAUCAACAGCGUCACAGCGCAAACGCACGAGCUCUGACAUCUCAAGGAACGAGGCGAAAAGCCCAAACCACGCUACUGGAAAGCUACUGGAAGCCACUCAGCCUGCCAGGCUGAAGGAACAACCGCAAACCCUCACGCCUACCGGUUACAAACGGCGCUCCCCGGCUCCCUUUGAAACCGGGGACGCCCCGCGGCGCCACCCUGGGGCUGCCGGCGCACUCGCCCCGCACGAAGCCGCGGCGGGGCCGGGCAGCGCCCGGCGGGGGCCGCCUG